GACGAACGCUGGCGGCGUGCUUAACACAUGCAAGUCGAGCGGUAAGGCCCUUUUGGGGGGUACACGAGCGGCGAACGGGUGAGUAACACGUGGGUGACCUGCCCUCAGCUCUGGGAUAAGCCUGGGAAACUGGGUCUAAUACUGGAUAUGACCUUUUCCUCGCAUGGGGUUGGGUGGAAAGUUUUUCGGCUGGGGAUGGGCCCGCGGCCUAUCAGCUUGUUGGUGGGGUGAUGGCCUACCAAGGCGACGACGGGUAGCCGGCCUGAGAGGGCGACCGGCCACACUGGGACUGAGACACGGCCCAGACUCCUACGGGAGGCAGCAGUGGGGAAUAUUGCGCAAUGGGCGGAAGCCUGACGCAGCGACGCCGCGU
This 373-nucleotide ribosomal RNA is filed under the name uncultured bacterium. Its description in RNAcentral is "bacterial SSU rRNA". It matches the Rfam family "Bacterial small subunit ribosomal RNA", at positions 28 to 402 of the family's 1533-position model. The record is from RNAcentral.